GAUGAAGAACGCAGUGAAAUGCGAUAAGUAAUGUGAAUUGCAGAAUUCAGUGAAUCAUCGAAUCUUUGAACGCACCUUGCGCCCUUUGGUCAUUCCGAAGGGCAUGCCUGUUUGAGUAUCAUGAACACCUCAACUCUUUAUGGUUUUCCAUGAUGAGCUUGGACUCUGGGGGUUUUGCUGGCUCACAGUCGGCUCCUCUAAAAUGAAUCAGCUUACCAGUGUUUGGUGGGUAUCAUGGGUGUGAUAACUAUCUACGCUUGUGGUUUUUCCACCAGGUAACCUUCAGCAGUGGAGGUUCGCUGGAGCUCAUAGAUGUCUCUCCUCAGUGAGGACAGCCCUUUGAAUGUUUGAUCUCAAAUCAGGUAGGACUACCCGCUGAACUUAAGCAUAUCAAUAAGCGGAGGA
Molecule: unclassified non-coding RNA, 405 nt
Filed under: soil metagenome
Description: partial contains 5.8S ribosomal RNA, internal transcribed spacer 2, and large subunit ribosomal RNA
Rfam family: 5.8S ribosomal RNA (bases 1-121)
Source: RNAcentral